Non-coding RNA from Theobroma cacao (cacao), 154 nucleotides. The record is from RefSeq and is a predicted model, not a curated record. Lineage: Eukaryota; Viridiplantae; Streptophyta; Magnoliopsida; Malvales; Malvaceae.
AGAAAAAUUGGUGGAUUUCAAGUAAUCAAGCAAUCAAAGGUGGUGAGCCCUCUAACAAGGGUAAAGACGUUUUGUCAGAGGACUGAGAAUACGAGUAUUUCAAACUCCUGAUACAGUUUAGCUUGCUGCAGUGGGCGAGUUUCUGUGGACCAGC